AUUGAACGCUGGCGGCAGGCCUAACACAUGCAAGUCGAACGAGCGGAGGACGGGAGGGUAAUGUAUGGGGACUUCACGAUAGAGGCGGAUAACUACUGGCAACGGUAGCUAAUACCGCAUACUAUCGGGUAACCCAUAUGGGAUUAGCUAGUUGGUGUGUUAAUGGCUCACCAGGGCGACGAUCCCUGGCUGGGCUGAGCGGAUGAUCAGCCACACUGGGACCGAGACACGGCCCAGACGCCUACGGAGGCAGCAGUGGGGAAUAUUGCACAAUGGGCGCAAGCCGGAUGCAGCCAUGCCGCGUAUAUGAAGAAGGCCCUAGGGUUGUAAAGUACUUUCAGUCGGGAGGCGGUACCAACAGAAUAAGCACCGGCUAACUUCGUGCCAGCAGCCGCGGUAAUAC
This 403-nucleotide ribosomal RNA is filed under the name uncultured bacterium. RNAcentral's name for it is "partial 16S ribosomal RNA". It matches the Rfam family "Bacterial small subunit ribosomal RNA", at positions 30 to 526 of the family's 1533-position model. The record is from RNAcentral.